GACUCUGCAAAAGUUUUAGAUCUUCUACAACUCUUGUCAUUCGUACGUGCAUCCUCUGGCUUUCAGUCGUGCCCACUCUUCUUCGUCUUGGUUCACUGGAGUUGGAUUUUUGUUACAUUUUCUAAUCGGAUUUGAGUCUUCGUCAAGCCAAAAUGCCGGCGUUUUAAAUUCACUACCUUUGAGGAUUCGGAGAAGGAGAGCGAGUAUGGUUACGUUCGCAAGUCUACGAAGAAACUGCUGGAUUGACGGUUAAUGAUCCUGUUCUUCGAACACACAAGCUUUGUAGUGUCUUCAUGUUGGCUAUUUUAGCUUGAGAUGGUGUCUCGGUUGCAGCUAAAUUUUACAUUUCUGCUUGGAUUUACAGCCACUAUCAGUGGAGCUUGGUCCAGGAAUAUUAGGAAAUAUCUUUGAUGGAAUUCAGAGGCCUUUGAAGACUAUUGCAAAGCGAUCUGGUGAUGUAUACAUCCCUCGUGGGGUGUCUGUUCCAGCUCUUGACAAAGAUUGUCCUUGGGAGUUCCAGCCUAAUAAAUUCGGCGAGGGCGACACUAUAUAACUGGUGGUGACUUGUAUGCUGUCUCAGAAGUUUGAAGAUCCAGCUGAGGGUGAAGAUACACUUGUAGCCAAAUUCAAGAAACUGUAUGACGACUUGACUUCUGGAUUCCGAGCCUUGGAGGAUGAAACUCGAUAAGCAAGCAGUUUCCGGAGAUCGAAAGUAUUCGAGCCAUCAUCACAAUGGAAUUGAUAUUGGGUCGAUGAAUUUAGGUUUUGAGCCAAAAACACUACAGUAUGUUAUGUUGCCUCUGUAGACUGUAGUAUAAUUGAUCUCUCUUUCUCUCUUUAUUAAUUCAUUUCUUUUUUGGCACAGACGAAAAGAUAUAUAGAUUUGUGUACUCAAAUACUCAAUAAGAGAUACCCUCGAGACUCAAC
Long non-coding RNA from Eutrema salsugineum, 927 nucleotides. RefSeq lists it as uncharacterized. The transcript has 6 exons. The record is from RefSeq and is a predicted model, not a curated record. Lineage: Eukaryota; Viridiplantae; Streptophyta; Magnoliopsida; Brassicales; Brassicaceae.